UACGGAGGGUGCGAGCAUUAAUCGGAAUUAUUGGGCGUAAAGGGCGCGUAGGCGGGGAUGAAAGUCAGAUGUGAAAUCCCGGGGCUCAACCUCGGAACUGCAUUUGAAACUUCAUUUCUUGAGGGUAGGCGGAGAAAAUGGAAUUCCACAAGUAGCGGUGAAAUGCGUAGAUAUGUGGAAGAACAUCUGUGGCGAAGGCGGUUUUCUAGCUUACUCCUGACGCUGAGGCGCGAAAGCAAGGGGAUCAAACAGG
RNAcentral lists this ribosomal RNA (253 nucleotides) under uncultured bacterium. RNAcentral describes it as "partial 16S ribosomal RNA". It matches the Rfam family "Bacterial small subunit ribosomal RNA", at positions 524 to 776 of the family's 1533-position model. The record is from RNAcentral.